This 1489-nucleotide ribosomal RNA is filed under the name uncultured bacterium. RNAcentral describes it as "16S ribosomal RNA". It matches the Rfam family "Bacterial small subunit ribosomal RNA". The record is from RNAcentral.
AGAGUUUGAUCCUGGCUCAGGAUGAACGCUAGCUACAGGCUUAACACAUGCAAGUCGAGGGGCAGCAUGAACUUAGCUUGCUAAGUUUGAUGGCGACCGGCGCACGGGUGAGUAACACGUAUCCAACCUGCCGAUGACUCGGGGAUAGCCUUUCGAAAGAAAGAUUAAUACCCGAUGGCAUAGUUCUUCCGCAUGGUAGAACUAUUAAAGAAUUUCGGUCAUCGAUGGGGAUGCGUUCCAUUAGGUUGUUGGCGGGGUAACGGCCCACCAAGCCUUCGAUGGAUAGGGGUUCUGAGAGGAAGGUCCCCCACAUUGGAACUGAGACACGGUCCAAACUCCUACGGGAGGCAGCAGUGAGGAAUAUUGGUCAAUGGACGAGAGUCUGAACCAGCCAAGUAGCGUGAAGGAUGACUGCCCUAUGGGUUGUAAACUUCUUUUAUACGGGAAUAAAGUGAGGCACGUGUGCCUUUUUGUAUGUACCGUAUGAAUAAGGAUCGGCUAACUCCGUGCCAGCAGCCGCGGUAAUACGGAGGAUCCGAGCGUUAUCCGGAUUUAUUGGGUUUAAAGGGAGCGUAGGCGGACGCUUAAGUCAGUUGUGAAAGUUUGCGGCUCAACCGUAAAAUUGCAGUUGAUACUGGGUGUCUUGAGUACAGUAGAGGCAGGCGGAAUUCGUGGUGUAGCGGUGAAAUGCUUAGAUAUCACGAAGAACUCCGAUUGCGAAGGCAGCCUGCUGGACUGUAACUGACGCUGAUGCUCGAAAGUGUGGGUAUCAAACAGGAUUAGAUACCCUGGUAGUCCACACAGUAAACGAUGAAUACUCGCUGUUUGCGAUAUACAGUAAGCGGCCAAGCGAAAGCGUUAAGUAUUCCACCUGGGGAGUACGCCGGCAACGGUGAAACCCAAAGGAAUUGACGGGGGCCCGCACAAGCGGAGGAACAUGUGGUUUAAUUCGAUGAUACGCGAGGAACCUUACCCGGGCUUGAAUUGCAACUGAAUGAUGUGGAGACAUGUCAGCCGCAAGGCAGUUGUGAAGGUGCUGCAUGGUUGUCGUCAGCUCGUGCCGUGAGGUGUCGGCUUAAGUGCCAUAACGAGCGCAACCCUUAUCGAUAGUUACCAUCAGGUUAUGCUGGGGACUCUGUCGAGACUGCCGUCGUAAGAUGUGAGGAAGGUGGGGAUGACGUCAAAUCAGCACGGCCCUUACGUCCGGGGCUACACACGUGUUACAAUGGGGGGUACAGAAGGCAGCUACACGGCGACGUGAUGCUAAUCCCGAAAGCCUCUCUCAGUUCGGAUUGGAGUCUGCAACCCGACUCCAUGAAGCUGGAUUCGCUAGUAAUCGCGCAUCAGCCACGGCGCGGUGAAUACGUUCCCGGGCCUUGUACACACCGCCCGUCAAGCCAUGAAAGCCGGGGGUACCUGAAGUGCGUAACCGCGAGGAGCGCCCUAGGGUAAAACUGGUGAUUGGGGCUAAGUCGUAACAAGGUAGCCG